CCCAUCUACCUAACCCUAGCAGCCGCGCGCUCCCUGGAGCUUCUCUCCCAGCCGCCGCCACCGCCUCUAUCUCUCCCUUCCCUCUUCUCUCUCCCCUCACAUCUCUCCUCUCUGUCCCGACCGAGCAACAGCGGCCAAGCACUCAAGUGUUCCGCGCUCGGCACUUUGGCUUCGGGAUUCCUGACCUAGCGCAGCCGCCACCACAGCGCUGCCCCUGUCGCGAUAGCUCUGCGUCGCCGCUCAACGGAGGCCGACGAGGUGACGAGAAGCGGAGGCCGAGCAGUCGCACUUGCAGGUCCAGUCCUGCUGGUCCGCAGUCCACAGUUCGCCCUCUACCCUCUGCUCUGGGAUCUGCAGUACCGUCUGCUUCGGCCUCAGCACUGCCAUCCGCUUCAGCCUCUGCACUACCGUCCAAGUCAAGUCGCUGUAUCACCUUAGCCCAUGGACGCUCCCCAUGCCUUGACGGCUUGACCUCCGAUGGAGAGGAAGCAAGGUGAGAAAUCACGAUUGUUUGUUGACUGUGUGAGGCCGUAAAAAUUGAGAUGUAUUUUUAAUAUUUUUGUAAUGCUAACCAUGUCAAAUAUGUCUACACGGUUGGAUGAAGUUGUACUGCUGUACCAGUUCACUGUAUUUGUAGACUACACUACGCCAUGCUUUGCCAAUGAACCAGCCAUCAUGUUCUACAAAAUUGGAGGAUGAACUAGCCAUGAUACUUUGCCAAUGAACCAGCCGAAGAGAUCUCCUCUACCUUGGCAGCACGAUCAAGAAUGCUGUUGUCACGGUCCCUGCCUACUUCAAUGACUCACAGAGACAGGCAAUUAAAAAAGAGAAUUGAUCUUUUUAUGGGCGAAGUGUCUUGUUAGCAUCAAGUAAGUGGCGACAUCACAACCCCUACAAGCUUGUGUCUUAAAACAAGAGGAUACAAGAAGUUGGAGUGCUUUUGUGAAGGCUUUUGCGAAUCACUUGAAGCGUUGGUACUUUUGUGAAUGAUUUUGUAAAGUGUUUGCAAAUAUGUGCAAAACAUAAUAACAUGUGUAGGUUUUGUGAAUGAUUUUGUUGUGGUGCUUGUUGAUGGUUUAUGUGAUGUGGAUCUAUCAUUGUGCAAUACUAAUUAAAUUUGUAUAUCUAUGUGAUUAUGUGUAUAAAAAAUGGUGAUUUGUGAUA
Zea mays is the source of this 1164-nucleotide long non-coding RNA. RefSeq lists it as uncharacterized. The transcript is spliced from 2 exons. The record is from RefSeq and is a predicted model, not a curated record. NCBI's taxonomy places the organism in Eukaryota, Viridiplantae, Streptophyta, Magnoliopsida, Poales, Poaceae.